UUUGCCUACGGGGCGCAGCAGUGAGGAAUAUUGGUCAAUGGUCGGGAGACUGAACCAGCCAAGCCGCGUGAGGGAGGAAGGUACAGAGUAUCGUAAACCUCUUUUGUCAGGGAACAAAGACUGGGACGCGUCCCCGGAUGAGUGUACCUGAAGAAAAAGCAUCGGCUAACUCCGUGCCAGCAGCCGCGGUAAUACGGAGGAUGCGAGCGUUAUCCGGAUUUAUUGGGCGUAAAGGGAACGCAGGCGGUCUUUUAAGUCUGAUGUGAAAGCCUUCGGCUUAACCGGAGUAGU
This 291-nucleotide ribosomal RNA is filed under the name uncultured bacterium. RNAcentral's name for it is "partial 16S ribosomal RNA". It matches the Rfam family "Bacterial small subunit ribosomal RNA", at positions 334 to 622 of the family's 1533-position model. The record is from RNAcentral.